GAUGAACGCUAGCGGCAGGCUUAAUACAUGCAAGUCGUGGGGCAGCAUGAGUAGCAAUACUUGAUGGCGACCGGCAAACGGGUGCGGAACACGUACACAACCUUCCUUCAAGCGGGGAAUAGCCCAGAGAAAUUUGGAUUAAUACCCCAUAAAAUAUAAAAAUGGCAUCAUUAUAUAUUAAAGCUUCGGCACUUGAUGAUGGGUGUGCGGCUGAUUAGAUAGUUGGCGAGGUAACGGCUCACCAAGUCUACGAUCAGUAGCUGAUGUGAGAGCAUGAUCAGCCACACGGGCACUGAGACACGGGCCCGACUCCUACGGGAGGCAGCAGUAAGGAAUAUUGGACAAUGGACGAAAGUCUGAUCCAGCCAUGCCGCGUGAAGGAUUAAGGUCCUCUGGAUUGUAAACUU
Molecule: ribosomal RNA, 407 nt
Filed under: uncultured bacterium
Lineage: Bacteria
Description: bacterial SSU rRNA
Rfam family: Bacterial small subunit ribosomal RNA
Source: RNAcentral